RNAcentral lists this ribosomal RNA (253 nucleotides) under uncultured bacterium. RNAcentral's name for it is "partial 16S ribosomal RNA". It matches the Rfam family "Bacterial small subunit ribosomal RNA", at positions 524 to 776 of the family's 1533-position model. The record is from RNAcentral.
UACGUAGGGUGCGAGCGUUGUCCGGAUUUAUUGGGCGUAAAGAGCUCGUAGGCAGCUUGUCGCGUCGUCCGUGAAAACCUGGGGCUCAACUCCGGAUCUGCGGUGGGUACGGGCAGACUAGAGUGAUGUAGGGGAGACUGGAAUUCCUGGUGUAGCGGUGAAAUGCGCAGAUAUCAGGAGGAACACCGAUGGCGAAGGCAGGUCUCUGGGCAUUAACUGACGCUGAGGAGCGAAAGCAUGGGGAGCGAACAGG